AUAGCGUAUAUUAAAGUUGUUGCAGUUAAAAAGCUCGUAGUUGAACUUCAGACCUGGCCGGGCGGUCUGCUUAACGGCAUGUACUGUCUGGGCGGGUCUUACCUCUUGGUGAGCCGGCGUGCCCUUCAUUGGCGUGCGUCGGGGAACCAGGACUUUUACCUUGAGAAAAUUAGAGUGUUCAAAGCAGGCCUAUGCCCGAAUACAUUAGCAUGGAAUAAUAAAAUAGGACGCGCGGUUCUAUUUUGUUGGCUUCUAGAGUCGCCGUAAUGAUUAAUAGGGAUAGUUGGGGGCAUUGGUAUUGAGUCGCUAGAGGUGAAAUUCUUGGAUUGACUCAAGACCGACUACUG
RNAcentral lists this ribosomal RNA (347 nucleotides) under uncultured eukaryote. RNAcentral's name for it is "SSU rRNA". It matches the Rfam family "Eukaryotic small subunit ribosomal RNA", at positions 594 to 945 of the family's 1831-position model. The record is from RNAcentral.